AGAGGCAGGUAGAUCUCUGUGAGUUCGAGGCCAGCCUGGUCUACAUAGGGAGUCCCAGGUCAGCCGAGGCUACAGGGAGACCCUGUCUCAAAAAG
Molecule: microRNA precursor, 95 nt
Filed under: Nannospalax galili (Upper Galilee mountains blind mole rat)
Lineage: Eukaryota; Metazoa; Chordata; Mammalia; Rodentia; Spalacidae
Description: miRNA (ENSNGAG00000005673.1)
Source: RNAcentral